CAGUCGCCGCGGUAAUACAUAGGGUGCGAGCGUUAAUCGGAAUUACUGGGCGUAAAGCGUGCGCAGGCGGUUAUGUAAGACAGUUGUGAAAUCCCCGGGCUCAACCUGGGAACUGCAUCUGUGACUGCAUAGCUAGAGUAUGGCAGAGGGGGGUGGAAUUCCACGUGUAGCAGUGAAAUGCGUAGAGAUGUGGAGGAACACCGAUGGCGAAGGCAGCCCCCUGGGCCAAUACUGACGCUCAUGCACGAAAGCGUGGGGAGCAAACAGGAUUAGAGACCCCUGUAGUCCCUGUCUCUUAUAC
This 301-nucleotide ribosomal RNA is filed under the name uncultured bacterium. Its description in RNAcentral is "partial 16S ribosomal RNA". It matches the Rfam family "Bacterial small subunit ribosomal RNA", at positions 509 to 807 of the family's 1533-position model. The record is from RNAcentral.